CCGGGGGAGGGCUUGGAGCGUAAAGAAUG
RNAcentral lists this non-coding RNA (29 nucleotides) under Cricetulus griseus (Chinese hamster). The record is from RNAcentral. Lineage: Eukaryota; Metazoa; Chordata; Mammalia; Rodentia; Cricetidae.